GCCAGCGUAGUGUAGUGGUUUGAGUGUUCAACUAGGAUAUUGGGAGACCAGGGUUUGAAUCCCUGCUCAGCUA
Molecule: non-coding RNA, 73 nt
Organism: Phrynosoma platyrhinos (Desert horned lizard)
Lineage: Eukaryota; Metazoa; Chordata; Lepidosauria; Squamata; Phrynosomatidae
Source: the annotation of a GenBank genome assembly